CGUGCCUAACACAUGCAAGUCGAACGAGGGUUUGGAAAGCUUGCUUUCCGAAGCCUAGUGGCGGACGGGUGAGUAACGCGUGAGUAUCCUGCCUUUCAGAGGGGAAUAACGUUCUGAAAAGAACGCUAAUACCGCAUAACGUACAGUUACCGCAUGGUAGCAGUACCAAAGGAGCAAUCCGCUGAAAGAUGGACUCGCGUCCGAUUAGCUAGUUGGUGGGGUAAAGGCCUACCAAGGCGACGAUCGGUAGCCGGACUGAGAGGUUGAACGGCCACAUUGGGACUGAGACACGGCCCAGACUCCUACGGGAGGCAGCAGUGGGGGAUAUUGCACAAUGGGGGAAACCCUGAUGCAGCAACGCCGCGUGUGGGAAGAAGGUUUUCGGAUUGUAAACCACUGUUCUUGGUGAAGAUAAUGACGGUAACCAAGGAGAAAGCUCCGGCUAACUACGUGCCAGCAGCCGCGGUAAUACGUAGGGAGCAAGCGUUGUCCGGAUUUACUGGGUGUAAAGGGUGCGUAGGCGGCUAGGCAAGUCAGACGUGAAAACCAUGGGCUCAACCUGUGGACUGCGUUUGAAACUGUUUAGCUUGAGUGAAGUAGAGGUAGGCGGAAUUCCCGGUGUAGCGGUGAAAUGCGUAGAGAUCGGGAGGAACACCAGUGGCGAAGGCGGCCUACUGGGCUUUAACUGACGCUGAGGCACGAAAGCAUGGGUAGCAAACAGGAUUAGAUACCCUGGUAGUCCACGCCGUAAACGAUGAUUAAUAGGUGUGGGGGGUCUGACCCCCUCCGUGCCGGAGUAACACA
Molecule: ribosomal RNA, 804 nt
Filed under: uncultured bacterium
Lineage: Bacteria
Description: bacterial SSU rRNA
Rfam family: Bacterial small subunit ribosomal RNA
Source: RNAcentral